UGUAGUUUAGUUUAAGUAGAACAGUUAACUUGCACUUAACAAGUGAAUUAUAUUCACCUACAA
This 63-nucleotide transfer RNA is filed under the name Enchytraeus irregularis. Its description in RNAcentral is "tRNA-Ala". Lineage: Eukaryota; Metazoa; Annelida; Clitellata; Enchytraeida; Enchytraeidae. The record is from RNAcentral.